Molecule: long non-coding RNA, 312 nt
Organism: Cercocebus atys (sooty mangabey)
Lineage: Eukaryota; Metazoa; Chordata; Mammalia; Primates; Cercopithecidae
Exons: 3
Source: RefSeq, a predicted model, not a curated record
UGAUCUGCCUGCCUUGGCCUCCUAAAGUGCUGGGAUUACAGGCUUGAGCCACCGCUCAUGGCCAUGAAUGGAUUGCUUUUGAAUGUGGCCAAUGCACAGAUUAUUUAAGGAUCAAUUCAGAGAAGUAGGAUUAGUGGGUUAAUGAUCACAACAUCAUUUUAAGCUCUGUACUAGGAAUUGGUACACCAGCAUUUCCUCUCCUGACAAGCAAGUGUGUACAGCAGCUCCGCGAGGUUCUGUGUGGCGUCUCGGGAAAGUGGUCCAGUGACAGUGGACACCUGGGGAAGAACGAAGCUCACCAGGGCCCGGGAA